GACGAACGCUGGCGGCGUGCUUAACACAUGCAAGUCGAACGGAAAGGCCCUGCUUGCAGGGUACUCGAGUGGCGAACGGGUGAGUAACACGUGGGUGAUCUGCCCUGCACUUCGGGAUAAGCUUGGGAAACUGGGUCUAAUACCGGAUAGGAGCCAUCUUUAGUGUGGUGGUUGGAAAGUUUUUUCGGUGUAGGAUGAGCUCGCGGCCUAUCAGCUUGUUGGUGGGGUAAUGGCCUACCAAGGCGGCGACGGGUAGCCGGCCUGAGAGGGUGUACGGCCACAUUGGGACUGAGAUACGGCCCAGACUCCUCCGGGAGGCAGCAGUGGGGAAUAUUGCACAAUGGGGGCAAGACUGAUGCAGCGACGCCGCGUGGGGGAUGAAGGCCUUCGGGUUGUAAACUCCUUUCGCUAGGGACGAAGCUUUGUUGUGACGGUACCUAGAUAAGAAGCACCGGCUAACUACGUG
RNAcentral lists this ribosomal RNA (466 nucleotides) under uncultured bacterium. RNAcentral describes it as "partial 16S ribosomal RNA". It matches the Rfam family "Bacterial small subunit ribosomal RNA", at positions 28 to 507 of the family's 1533-position model. The record is from RNAcentral.